UUAAGCGACUAAGCGUACACGGUGGAUGCCCUGGCAGUCAGAGGCGAUGAAGGACGUGCUAAUCUGCGAUAAGCGUCGGUAAGGUGAUAUGAACCGUUAUAACCGGCGAUUUCCGAAUGGGGAAACCCAGUGUGUUUCGACACACUAUCAUUAACUGAAUCCAUAGGUUAAUGAGGCGAACCGGGGGAACUGAAACAUCUAAGUACCCCGAGGAAAAGAAAUCAACCGAGAUUCCCCCAGUAGCGGCGAGCGAACGGGGAGGAGCCCAGAGCCUGAAUCAGUGUGUGUGUUAGUGGAAGCGUCUGGAAAGGCGCGCGAUACAGGGUGACAGCCCCGUACACAAAAAUGCACAUGCUGUGAGCUCGAUGAGUAGGGCGGGACACGUGGUAUCCUGUCUGAAUAUGGGGGGACCAUCCUCCAAGGCUAAAUACUCCUGACUGACCGAUAGUGAACCAGUACCGUGAGGGAAAGGCGAAAAGAACCCCGGCGAGGGGAGUGAAAAAGAACCUGAAACCGUGUACGUACAAGCAGUGGGAGCACGCUUAGGCGUGUGACUGCGUACCUUUUGUAUAAUGGGUCAGCGACUUAUAUUCUGUAGCAAGGUUAACCGAAUAGGGGAGCCGAAGGGAAACCGAGUCUUAACUGGGCGUUAAGUUGCAGGGUAUAGACCCGAAACCCGGUGAUCUAGCCAUGGGCAGGUUGAAGGUUGGGUAACACUAACUGGAGGACCGAACCGACUAAUGUUGAAAAAUUAGCGGAUGACUUGUGGCUGGGGGUGAAAGGCCAAUCAAACCGGGAGAUAGCUGGUUCUCCCCGAAAGCUAUUUAGGUAGCGCCUCGUGAAUUCAUCUCCGGGGGUAGAGCACUGUUUCGGCAAGGGGGUCAUCCCGACUUACCAACCCGAUGCAAACUGCGAAUACCGGAGAAUGUUAUCACGGGAGACACACGGCGGGUGCUAACGUCCGUCGUGAAGAGGGAAACAACCCAGACCGCCAGCUAAGGUCCCAAAGUCAUGGUUAAGUGGGAAACGAUGUGGGAAGGCCCAGACAGCCAGGAUGUUGGCUUAGAAGCAGCCAUCAUUUAAAGAAAGCGUAAUAGCUCACUGGUCGAGUCGGCCUGCGCGGAAGAUGUAACGGGGCUAAACCAUGCACCGAAGCUGCGGCAGCGACGCUUAUGCGUUGUUGGGUAGGGGAGCGUUCUGUAAGCCUGUGAAGGUGUGCUGUGAGGCAUGCUGGAGGUAUCAGAAGUGCGAAUGCUGACAUAAGUAACGAUAAAGCGGGUGAAAAGCCCGCUCGCCGGAAGACCAAGGGUUCCUGUCCAACGUUAAUCGGGGCAGGGUGAGUCGACCCCUAAGGCGAGGCCGAAAGGCGUAGUCGAUGGGAAACAGGUUAAUAUUCCUGUACUUGGUGUUACUGCGAAGGGGGGACGGAGAAGGCUAUGUUGGCCGGGCGACGGUUGUCCCGGUUUAAGCGUGUAGGCUGGUUUUCCAGGCAAAUCCGGAAAAUCAAGGCUGAGGCGUGAUGACGAGGCACUACGGUGCUGAAGCAACAAAUGCCCUGCUUCCAGGAAAAGCCUCUAAGCAUCAGGUAACAUCAAAUCGUACCCCAAACCGACACAGGUGGUCAGGUAGAGAAUACCAAGGCGCUUGAGAGAACUCGGGUGAAGGAACUAGGCAAAAUGGUGCCGUAACUUCGGGAGAAGGCACGCUGAUAUGUAGGUGAAGCGACUUGCUCGUGGAGCUGAAAUCAGUCGAAGAUACCAGCUGGCUGCAACUGUUUAUUAAAAACACAGCACUGUGCAAACACGAAAGUGGACGUAUACGGUGUGACGCCUGCCCGGUGCCGGAAGGUUAAUUGAUGGGGUCAGCGCAAGCGAAGCUCUUGAUCGAAGCCCCGGUAAACGGCGGCCGUAACUAUAACGGUCCUAAGGUAGCGAAAUUCCUUGUCGGGUAAGUUCCGACCUGCACGAAUGGCGUAAUGAUGGCCAGGCUGUCUCCACCCGAGACUCAGUGAAAUUGAACUCGCUGUGAAGAUGCAGUGUACCCGCGGCAAGACGGAAAGACCCCGUGAACCUUUACUAUAGCUUGACACUGAACAUUGAGCCUUGAUGUGUAGGAUAGGUGGGAGGCUUAGAAGUGUGGACGCCAGUCUGCAUGGAGCCGGCCUUGAAAUACCACCCUUUAAUGUUUGAUGUUCUAACGUGGACCCGUAAUCCGGGUUGCGGACAGUGUCUGGUGGGUAGUUUGACUGGGGCGGUCUCCUCCUAAAGAGUAACGGAGGAGCACGAAGGUUGGCUAAUCCUGGUCGGACAUCAGGAGGUUAGUGCAAUGGCAUAAGCCAGCUUGACUGCGAGCGUGACGGCGCGAGCAGGUGCGAAAGCAGGUCAUAGUGAUCCGGUGGUUCUGAAUGGAAGGGCCAUCGCUCAACGGAUAAAAGGUACUCCGGGGAUAACAGGCUGAUACCGCCCAAGAGUUCAUAUCGACGGCGGUGUUUGGCACCUCGAUGUCGGCUCAUCACAUCCUGGGGCUGAAGUAGGUCCCAAGGGUAUGGCUGUUCGCCAUUUAAAGUGGUACGCGAGCUGGGUUUAGAACGUCGUGAGACAGUUCGGUCCCUAUCUGCCGUGGGCGCUGGAGAACUGAGGGGGGCUGCUCCUAGUACGAGAGGACCGGAGUGGACGCAUCACUGGUGUUCGGGUUGUCAUGCCAAUGGCACUGCCCGGUAGCUAAAUGCGGAAGAGAUAAGUGCUGAAAGCAUCUAAGCACGAAACUUGCCCCGAGAUGAGUUCUCCCUGACCCUUUAAGGGUCCUGAAGGAACGUUGAAGACGACGACGUUGAUAGGCCGGGUGUGUAAGCGCAGCGAUGCGUUGAGCUAACCGGUACUAAUGAACCGUGAGGCUUAACCUU
Molecule: ribosomal RNA, 2902 nt
Filed under: Escherichia coli
Lineage: Bacteria; Pseudomonadati; Pseudomonadota; Gammaproteobacteria; Enterobacterales; Enterobacteriaceae
Description: bacterial LSU rRNA
Rfam family: Bacterial large subunit ribosomal RNA
Source: RNAcentral